UUGGCCUUUGACAUACUAAGAACUUUUCCAGAGAUUGGAUUGGUGCCUUUCGGGAACUUUAGAUACAGGUGCUGCAUGGCUGUCGUCAGCUCGUGUCGUGAGAUGUUGGGUUAAGUCCCGCAACGAGCGCAACCCUUUUUCCUUAUUUUGCCAGCGGGUCAUGCCGGGAACUUUAAGGAUACUGCCAGUGACAAACUGGAGGAAGGCGGGGACGACGUCAAGUCAUCAUGGCCCUUACGGCCGGGGCUACACACGUGCUACAAUGGUCGGUACAAAGGGUUGCUACCUCGCGAGAGGAUGCUAAUCUCAAAAAGCCGAUCGUAGUCCGGAUCGCAGUCUGCAACUCGACUGCGUGAAGUCGGAAUCGCUAGUAAUCGCGGAUCAGAAUGCCGCGGUGAAUACGUUCCCGGGCCUUGUACACACCGCCCGUCACACCAUGGGAGUUUGUUGCACCAGAAGUAGGUAGUCUAACCGCAAGGAGGACGCUUACCACGGUGUGGCCGAUGACUGGGGUGAAGUCGUAACAAGGUAGGCGUAGAUGA
RNAcentral lists this ribosomal RNA (542 nucleotides) under uncultured bacterium. RNAcentral's name for it is "bacterial SSU rRNA". It matches the Rfam family "Bacterial small subunit ribosomal RNA", at positions 975 to 1509 of the family's 1533-position model. The record is from RNAcentral.